RNAcentral lists this ribosomal RNA (440 nucleotides) under uncultured bacterium. RNAcentral's name for it is "partial 16S ribosomal RNA". It matches the Rfam family "Bacterial small subunit ribosomal RNA", at positions 338 to 795 of the family's 1533-position model. The record is from RNAcentral.
CCUACGGGAGGCAGCAGUGGGGGAUAUUGCACAAUGGGGGAAACCCUGAUGCAGCGACGCCGCGUGGGUGAAGAAGCGCCUCGGCGCGUAAAGCCCUGUCAGCAGGGAAGAAAAUGACGGUACCUGAAGAAGAAGCCCCGGCUAACUACGUGCCAGCAGCCGCGGUAAUACGUGGGGGGCAAGCGUUAUCCGGAUUUACUGGGUGUAAAGGGGGCGCAGACGGCGGUGCAAGCCAGGAGUGAAAGCCCGGGGCCCAACCCCGGGAAUGCUCUUGGAACUGCGUGGCUAGAGUGCAGGAGGGGCAGGCGGAAUUCCUGGUGUAGCGGUGAAAUGCGUAGAUAUCAGGAGGAACACCGGUGGCGAAGGCGGCCUGCUGGACUGCAACUGACGUUGAGGCCCGAAAGCGUGGGGAGCAAACAGGAUUAGAUACCCGAGUAGUC